This 445-nucleotide ribosomal RNA is filed under the name Cheiracanthium sp. SP22. RNAcentral's name for it is "partial 16S ribosomal RNA". The record is from RNAcentral. Lineage: Eukaryota; Metazoa; Arthropoda; Arachnida; Araneae; Cheiracanthiidae.
CAUUAAUAGUUUUAAUUAUUAAUAUAAUCUGCUCAAUGAUAAUUUAAAUAGCCGCAAAGUCAAUCUUUGUGCUAAGGUAGCAUAAUCAUUUGUCUUUUAAUUAAAGACUAGAAUAAAAGAUAUUACAUUUCAAUUAUAAAUUAUAUUAUUUUAAUAUUUUAAAUUACUUUUAAUGUUAAAAAACAUUUAAUAACUAAAAAGACAAUAAGACCCUAUUGAAUUUUAUUAUAAUUUAACUGGGGCAGUUAAUUAAUUAUUAUUUUAAUUUAGAUUUUAAAAUAAUUGAUCUAAUUUAAUUAAAAUGAUCAAAUUACCUUAGGGAUAACAGCAUAAUAUAUUUUUAAAGAUCUUAUAUAAAAAAAUGAUUGUGACCUCGAUGUUGAAUAAUAUACUAAAUUAAGUAAAAGUUUUAAUAGAAAGUCUGUUCGACUUAUAAAUAAUUACA